Hylaeus volcanicus is the source of this 119-nucleotide ribosomal RNA. NCBI's taxonomy places the organism in Eukaryota, Metazoa, Arthropoda, Insecta, Hymenoptera, Colletidae. The record is from RefSeq and is a predicted model, not a curated record.
GUCAACGAUCAUACCACGUUGGAACCACCGGUUCUCGUCUGAUCACCGAAGUUAAGCAGCGUAGGGCGCGGUUAGUACUUGGAUGGGUGACCGCUUGGGAAUACCGCGUAUCGUUGGCA